AACGAACGCUGGCGGCAUGCCUAACACAUGCAAGUCGAACGAGACCUUCGGGCCUAGUGGCGCACGGGUGCGUAACGCGUGGGAACCUGCCCUUAGGUUCGGAAUAACUCCCCGAAAGGGGUGCUAAUACCGGAUAAUGUCUUAGGACCAAAGAUUUAUCGCCUUUGGAUGGGCCCGCGUUGGAUUAGGUAGUUGGUAGGGUAAAAGCCUACCAAGGCGACGUUCCAUAGCUGGUCUGAGAGGAUGAUCAGCCACACUGGGACUGAGACACGGCCCAGACUCCUACGGGAGGCAGCAGUGGGGAAUAUUGGACAAUGGGCGAAAGCCUGAUCCAGCAAUGCCGCGUGAGUGAUGAAGGCCUUAGGGUUGUAAAGCUCUUUUACCCGGGAUGAUAAUGACAGUACCGGGAGAAUAAGCUCCGGCUAACUCCGUG
RNAcentral lists this ribosomal RNA (433 nucleotides) under uncultured bacterium. RNAcentral's name for it is "partial 16S ribosomal RNA". It matches the Rfam family "Bacterial small subunit ribosomal RNA", at positions 29 to 507 of the family's 1533-position model. The record is from RNAcentral.